AAUACAUGAUGACAGUUUCGGCCCCAGAUGAAAAACAAUGAUUACUGUUGUGAGAUCACCUGACAUU
Small nucleolar RNA from Ctenopharyngodon idella (grass carp), 67 nucleotides. RefSeq annotates it as small nucleolar RNA SNORD73. The record is from RefSeq and is a predicted model, not a curated record. NCBI's taxonomy places the organism in Eukaryota, Metazoa, Chordata, Actinopteri, Cypriniformes, Xenocyprididae. The transcript has a single exon.